CAAAACACGUCGAUAGGAUAAGUACAAUUUUAAUUUUGCAAAGCGAGCAUCGUUAGGUGAAAGGAUGCCAUAAUUUAAAAUUUGGAAAAUCAGCCUUGAGUGGCAAGUGCAAUAUGAGUGCUUGUUGGUAGCUCCCAUUAUAGAGCUGGGGUAUUACUGUAACGAGAGUACAGUAGCACCCGGCAAGUUUAGUUUCGGUAACGAAGCUAAUAAACUAAGGUGGUAACGCGUUUUUAACGUCCUUAUU
This 247-nucleotide non-coding RNA is filed under the name Pediococcus argentinicus. Its description in RNAcentral is "T-box sequence". It matches the Rfam family "T-box leader". Rfam says of the family: Uncharged tRNA acts as the effector for transcription antitermination of genes in the T-box leader family. T-boxes are found upstream of many aminoacyl-tRNA synthetase genes and some amino acid biosynthetic genes usually in Gram-positive bacteria. The record is from RNAcentral. Lineage: Bacteria; Bacillati; Bacillota; Bacilli; Lactobacillales; Lactobacillaceae.